UCCGGUUUGUCACCGGCAGUCUCCCUAGAGUGCCCUUGCGUAGCAACUAGGGACAAGGGUUGCGCUCGUUGCGGGACUUAACCCAACAUCUCACGACACGAGCUGACGACAGCCAUGCAGCACCUGUGUCGCCGCUCCCUUUCGGGCACCCCCGCCUCUCAGCAGGGUUCGGCGCAUGUCAAGGGUAGGUAAGGUUGUUCGCGUUGCAUCGAAUUAAUCCACAUCAUCCACCGCUUGUGCGGGUCCCCGUCAAUUCCUUUGAGUUUUAACCUUGCGGCCGUACUCCCCAGGCGGAGCACUUCACGCGUUAGCUACGCUACUAGAGGAUCGCUCCCCCAACAGCUAGUGCUCAUCGUUUAGGGCGUGGACUAC
Molecule: unclassified non-coding RNA, 372 nt
Filed under: uncultured Gammaproteobacteria bacterium
Lineage: Bacteria; Pseudomonadati; Pseudomonadota; Gammaproteobacteria
Description: contains 16S-23S intergenic spacer region
Source: RNAcentral